GGAAAUGUCUGUCCAAGCAGUAAGUCUGAAGAGGAGUCAAAUGCUUCUUUUCUUAAGGACAAGCUGUGAUGGGGAGGGAAAUAAUAGUACCGAAGUUCCUGAUGUCACACUGCCGAGAAAAGCUUCUAGUGAGAAAACAGCGGCCCGUACCGCAAACCGACACAGGUAGUCGAGGAGAGAAUCCUAAGGUGAGCGAGAGAACUCUCGUUAAGGAACUCGGCAAAAUGACCCCGUAACUUCGGGAGAAGGGGUGCUGAUCAUACGAUCAGCCGCAGUGAAUAGGCCCAAGCGACUGUUUAUCAAAAACACAGGUCUCUGCAAAAUCGUAAGAUGAAGUAUAGGGGCUGACGCCUGCCCGGUGCUGGAAGGUUAAGAGGAGUGCUUAGCGCAAGCGAAGGUACGAAUUGAAGCCCCAGUAAACGGCGGCCGUAACUAUAACGGUCCUAAGGUAGCGAAAUUCCUUGUCGGGUAAGUUCCGACCCGCACGAAAGGCGUAACGAUUUGGGCACUGUCUCAACGAGAGACUCGGUGAAAUUUUAGUACCUGUGAAGAUGCAGGUUACCCGCGACAGGACGGAAAGACCCCAUGGAGCUUUACUGUAGUUUGAUAUUGAGUGUCUGUACCGCAUGUACAGGAUAGGUAGGAGCCGUAGAAAUCGGAACGCUAGUUUCGAUGGAGGCGCUGGUGGGAUACUACCCCUGCGUUAUGGCCACUCUAACCCGCACCACU
Molecule: ribosomal RNA, 729 nt
Filed under: Enterococcus faecium
Lineage: Bacteria; Bacillati; Bacillota; Bacilli; Lactobacillales; Enterococcaceae
Also listed under: 1 other name
Description: partial 23S ribosomal RNA
Rfam family: Bacterial large subunit ribosomal RNA
Source: RNAcentral